RNAcentral lists this long non-coding RNA (224 nucleotides) under Ananas comosus (pineapple). RNAcentral's name for it is "long non-coding RNA (ACOM_LNC042083)". The record is from RNAcentral. Lineage: Eukaryota; Viridiplantae; Streptophyta; Magnoliopsida; Poales; Bromeliaceae.
CUUUUUGCAUUUCCUCAGCAUCCGGACUUUCCAAACCUUACCAACUCGACAACAAGUCGAAUCUAAACGAAGUCUAACUCUCGGAUUUCGAAAAUUCACUUCCUUACAUCCUCCCCACCUUAAAAGAGUUUCGUCCUUGAAACAAACUCAACUUAAUUAAACUUAAUUCAACUUAACCUUAAAUCAUACCUCAACUCAUUUCUCAAAUAGAUGAGGGUGAUUCG